RNAcentral lists this ribosomal RNA (562 nucleotides) under Labeobarbus sp. Kongou. RNAcentral's name for it is "partial 16S ribosomal RNA". It matches the Rfam family "Bacterial large subunit ribosomal RNA", at positions 1844 to 2603 of the family's 2925-position model. Lineage: Eukaryota; Metazoa; Chordata; Actinopteri; Cypriniformes; Cyprinidae. The record is from RNAcentral.
UAUAGGAGGUCCAGCCUGCCCAGUGACCAUAAGUUCAACGGCCGCGGUAUUUUGACCGUGCAAAGGUAGCGCAAUCACUUGUCUUUUAAAUAGAGACCUGUAUGAAUGGCUAAACGAGGGCUUAACUGUCUCCCUUUUCAAGUCAGUGAAAUUGAUCUACCCGUGCAGAAGCGGGUAUAACAAUACAAGACGAGAAGACCCUUUGGAGCUUAAGGUACAAAACUCAACCACGUCAAGCAACUUAAUAAAAAGCAAAAACUCUGUGAAACAUGAAAUUUUACCUUCGGUUGGGGCGACCACGGAGGAGAAAGAAGCCUCCAAGUGGAUUGGGACAAAUCCCUAAAACUAAGAGAGACAUCUCUAAGUCACAGAACAUCUGACCAAACAUGAUCCGGCCACCAGGACCGAUCAACGAACCAAGUUACCCUAGGGAUAACAGCGCAAUCCCCUCCCAGAGUCCAUAUCGACGAGGGGGUUUACGACCUCGAUGUUGGAUCAGGACAUCCUAAUGGUGCAGCCGCUAUUAAGGGUUCGUUUGUUCAACGAUUAAAGUCCUACGUGA